CGGGCUGAGUAACGCGUAGGUGACCUGCCCCGAAGUGGGGGAGUAACUGCCCGAAAGGGUGGGCUAAUACCGCAUGCGGAGGCUCGUUCAUUCGAGCCUUCAAAGCAGCAAUGCGCUUCGGGAGGGGCCUGCGUCCGAUUAGCUCGUUGGUGGGGUAACGGCUCACCAAGGCGACGAUCGGUAGGUGGUCUGAGAGGACGAUCACCCAGACUGGGACUGAGACACGGCCCAG
This 232-nucleotide ribosomal RNA is filed under the name uncultured bacterium. RNAcentral's name for it is "partial 16S ribosomal RNA". It matches the Rfam family "Bacterial small subunit ribosomal RNA", at positions 104 to 334 of the family's 1533-position model. The record is from RNAcentral.